UGGUGAUGUUUCUGUAUAGCAAUUUCAUUUUCAACUUAUGAGGUUCAUCUCAUCUGAGGUUCAUGCAUAUCUAUCUAAUAAUCUAUUUGAUUUUAAGGGAAAUUAAAUUUAAAAUUUGUACAACCAAAAUAGCUUAUAAAUGAAUGAUUGUUUGUCUUUUAGUUUCAAAAUCAAAUCCUCGGCUGCAUAAGAAAUGUCUUCCAAGGUUCAGUAAAAGAAGAACAUGAUUAUUGAUCAAGUAGAGAGAAAAAGGGAGGAAUUAUAGAUUUAAUGGAGAGUUACUAAGUUGUAGCAAGAAGUUGAAAAUUGGAUCAUAUUGUUUGGAGUAGAAAUACAUGUGUUUUAGUGUUUUUUUUCUUCAUGUAAACAGAAAAUCAUGGAUUCCCUGUACUUUUUAGCUUAAGAAAUUUGCUUGUCAUGUCUCAUUUUCUGUUUCUUGUGAACCUUUGUUAUUGACACCGAGUUAGAUGCAUUUUUUACUGACUCAGGUCAAAAGAACACUAGAAUUAAGGCACAAUCUUUAAGUUUAGACAAUGUUACAAAGAACUUGAGAAAGUUCUAUGCACAAGCUUACUUGGGACAAUCACCAAAACAAGCUCCAAAGUAUUGGCUUCAUUUUCAAGUUUCUGUACUAUCGCUUGGUUGGAAUACUUACUUUGUCUCAAAGGCAUAUAGUACAGAAAAUGGGAUCAAUGGCAGAUGAAUUGGAUCCAUGUUGAACAAUUGGAUCCAUGUUGAACAAUCAUUGGUGAACACAGGAAAGGAAAGGGCAAAAGUCAGCCUUCUUUUUACAUGGGCGGAAGGCAAUGUUGCCAACCAGAGGGAACAUCUAAUUCUUCUCCUUGCCAAUAUUCACAUUCAGAAAGCUAAUAAGCAGUCUGUCUUGAAGGUAUUUUGAUUGUUAAUUAAGGUUGUAAAGCUUUGCCUUGUGGUGUUUAUUCCAUAUUGGCUGCUUCCUAGUUAUUUUUAGUUUUCUGGUUUUGCCUUGUGGU
Long non-coding RNA from Humulus lupulus (European hop), 992 nucleotides. RefSeq lists it as uncharacterized. The record is from RefSeq and is a predicted model, not a curated record. NCBI's taxonomy places the organism in Eukaryota, Viridiplantae, Streptophyta, Magnoliopsida, Rosales, Cannabaceae. The transcript has 4 exons.